RNAcentral lists this long non-coding RNA (8699 nucleotides) under Panax ginseng (ginseng). Its description in RNAcentral is "long non-coding RNA (PGIN_LNC003810)". Lineage: Eukaryota; Viridiplantae; Streptophyta; Magnoliopsida; Apiales; Araliaceae. The record is from RNAcentral.
AAAAAAAGUAGUCCUUCAUUUUUUUGUUUUUGUUUUUCCUUGAGUCUUCUUUUGUCUUCCUUAUCCUGUUGUUUUUCUCUUCCGAGUGUCCCCAGGCUCCGAGGCAAACUAUUAACUUGGUGCAGAGGGGCCCUAGUGCAGUAAUAUUUCUAGCUUAAUUGAUUUUUUUAUCUGAAUUUUGAAGGUGCUUUUGUAUUAUUGUUUUAAUACUCUUCCUUUCCAUAAUGUUGACAUAGGGAAUUUGGUAGCCUUCUCCGAGUAGGUGGGGCUCUGACUUAUUUUAUCAUUUUUUGUCCAUGAGCUAUUUUAAGUUGAAUUCAUCAGUUAUUUACCAACUUGUUUUGUGAUCCUGAUCUUUGCAUUAUCCACUGACAAUCAGAAGCCUAAGCUUGACCUCUUAUUAUGAUAGGCUGUGAUGUAUUAUCUUUCGUGGUUUGCUCCUGGUUUCGUGCAAUGGGUAGUUCUGAACUCGACUUGUCAGAUUUUUCUUGCUUUUAAUUGUUUUACGCCUAACAUGGAAAAUUUCAAUUCUUUUCUAUUUUGCAACUUCCCUGCUGCCACUGUUGGCAUUUUGCUGCUAUCAAGGAUACUGCCAUCCGGUAAUUCCAAACUGGGAAGCCUGUAAAUUGUGUUUCAUAUGUUAAUAAUUUGGUCUUUUCUUAUUGAUAAUAUUACUGUGAGAGAACUUCGGCCUACAUAAUUACGUCAACCGGUGUUUGCAGUUCCUUAAUUGAUUGCAUUUUGUUCUCUCUUUUGUUUUUUUUAAAUGUUUUUAAUCUGUGUGGUUGUCUACUGUGCAUUGUUCCUAGGUUGACUUGGAAAAAACUAGAGUAUUUAGUCGUUGAGGUUCGAAAAAUUAAUUGUAUUAUGUGGUUUUGUAAAUUGUAAUAAAUUUUGAUCUAAUGUACAUCACUUGUAUCUUAUGUAUAAUAAUUUAUCUCAUUUUGAAGGAUAUAUUUUUGACUCUUGAACAUUUUGACUAAGCCUUGUCAGUGGUUUUGGAGCAGGCAUUCUUACUCUUUUCUAUAUCAGCAUUCACAUUUAUUUCUAAACAAAAAAUAUCAAGCCCAACAAUUAACUUUCUACUUUUGUUUUGAAGGAAUUUCGGUUGAAGGUUAUCUACAUCAAUAACAUUAUCCUUUGGUCCCCGUGUUGCAGUCCAGUGGUUACCCAAUUUAUAGUGUUUUAUUUGUCAUUCUUUUUGUUUUUCAUUUAGCCCUUUGUUUUUGUGCAUCUUAUCCCUCUCUUUCUCUCGCAUUUUUUUCUUCCAGAGAUUAGAAGUAGUGUUGCAUGUGUUUUUGGGGAAGUUAUCAACAUGGUGCAUUGAACCCUUGGUGGUUUACCUUUCAAACCUUUGUUCAUUUCUUUUCUACACAUUGAGUGUCUAAUUUUAUUGAUUAUUCUUUAAAUACUCUUCCCUGAUUUACUACAUGGUCAACUUGAGAUGGCAUUUGCUAUCUAGUUUUGGCUAGUUUCAUGUUCUAUGUGUAUCUUUAGUUAUUGAAUUGAAUUUUCAGUACCUUUUCUUUUGAGAAGUUAACAAUAAAAAGUAAUCCUUCGUACGUUGUUUUUGUUCUUCCUUUAGUCUCAUUCUACUCCCUUAUCCCCUAGUUUUUAUGUUCAGUGUUCCAAGGGAUAGUGGGUCUUUAGCGAAAUAAAUUUGUCUGGCAUAGUUAAAUUCUUUUCUGAAAUUUUAUGGUGCUUACCUAUUGUAUUCUUGUUUUAAUGGUCUUCCCAUCCGAUUAUGUUGACAUAUAGGGCAUUUGGUAACCUUCUUUAUUGGAGGAGGCGAGGUUCUGACUUAUUUUAUUUUUUUUGUCCAAAAUUAUCUGGAAUUGUAUUCAUUGGUUAUCUAACAGCUUGUUUUGUGACCCUUGUCUUUCUGUUGUCCACUGACAUUCAGAAGCCUAAGCUGGACCUCUUAUUAUGAAGGCUGUUGUGUAUUCUCUUCCUUGUUUGCUCCUGGUUUCAUGCAAUGGGUAGUUCUGGACUCAAUAAUUUUCAGUUUUUUCUUAUUUGUUACCUAACCAGUUAUCGUCUAACAUUUCACAUUUGAAUCAUCUUCUAUUGUGGACUUCCCCACCACUGUUGUUGCUACUAUCAAGGUAGUGUUAUCUUGUACUACCAAAUAGGAAGCAUGUAAAUUGUGUCUUAUGUUAAUAGUUUUGUCUUUUCUUUAUGAUAAUCUUACUGUGAGAGAACUUUGGUCUACGUUGUAACAUCAACCGGUGUUUGCAGUUCCUUAAUUGAUUGCAUUUUCUUCUCUCUUUUUAUUUCUUUUUUAAAAUUUUCUAAUAUGUUUGUGGUUGUCUACACUGCAUUGUUUCUAGGUAAAGAUAAUAUUACUGUGAGAGAUCUUGGGUCUACGUUGUAACAUCAACGGGUGCUUGCAGCUCCUUAAUUGAUUGCGUUUUCUUCUCUUAUGUUUUUUUAUUAAAAUUUGUUCAAAUAGUCAACAAUUAACUUUUUAUUUUGUUUUGAAGGUUAUCCACAUCCAUAAUUUGGCAUUCGUUUUUUUCUUCAUUAAGCCCUUUAUUUUUGUGCGCCUUAUCUCUUACUUUCUCUCUCAUUUUUCCCCCAGAUUAGAAGUAGAGUUGCACGUGUUUUGGGGCUAGUUAUCAACAUUGUUCAUUGAGCCCUUGGUGGUUACCUUUUCCAACCUUGUUGAUUUAUCCACAUCAAUAUAUUUAUGCUUUGAUGGAGGUUUUUCAAUCCAGUGGUUACCCAAUUUGACGUGUUUUCUUUGUCAUUCGUUUCUUAUUCCUCACCAACUUUUUUCUGCUCGUCAUAUUCUCUCUCAUUUUUUUCAGAGAUUAGAAGUAAAGCUGCACAUUUGUUUGGGGGGAGGUAUCAACAUGGUGCAUUGAGCCUUUGGUGGUUUACCCUUUUCUAACCUUGCUCAUUUCGGAUCAUGCAUUCAUACUCUUCUUUUUAAUUUCCGCAUUCACUUUUAUUUCGAACUAGAAAAUAUCAAGCCCAACAAUUAACUUUUAAUUUUUGUUUUGAAGGAAUUUUGUUUGAAUGUUAUUUGCAUCAAUAACAUUAUCCUUUGGUCCCCGUGUUUCAGUCUAGUGGUUACCCAAUUUGAUGUGUUUUAAUUGUCAUUCUUUUUUUGCUCUUCAUUUAGCCCUUUGUUUUUGUGCAUCUUAUCCCUCUCUUUCUCUCGCAUUUUUUUUCUUCUAGAGAUUAGAAGUAGAGUUGCAUGUGUUUUGGGGUAAGUUAUCAACAUGGUGCAUUAAGCCCUUGGUGGUUUACCUUUCAAACCUUGUUUAUUAAUCCACAUCAAUGCCAUUAUGCUUUGGUGGGGGUGUUUCAAUCCUUUGGUUACCCAGUUUGACGUGUUUUUUUUAAUUCGUUUCUUAUUCCUCAUUAAGCCCUUUUUCUGUAUCUUAUUAUCUCUUUUUUUUUCAGAGCUUAGAAGUAAAUCUGCACAUUUGUUUAGGGGGAGUUAUCAACGUGGUGCAUUGAUCCCUUGGUGGUUUACCUUUUCUAACCUUGGUCAUUUCUUUUAUAGAGAUUGAGGUGCCUAAAUUUAUGAAUUAUUAUUUAAAUACCCUUCCCUAUUUUUUGUUUACAACUUGUCAUGGCAUUCACUAUCGAGUUCUUGCUAGUUACCUGUUCUCUGGGUAAUUUUAGUUAUAUACUUGAAUUUUCUGUACCUUAUUAUUUUUUCCUUGAUUAGUUGACAAAAAAAAGUAGUCGUCCUUCAUUUUUUUGUUUUUGUUUUUUCUUGAGUUCUUUUUCUUCCUUAUCCUGUCGUUUUUCUCUUCCGAGUGUCCCCAGGCUCAGAGGCAAACUAUUAACUUGGUGCAGAGGGGCCCUAGUGCAAUAAUAUUUCUAGCUUAAUUGAUUUUUUUAUCUGAAUUUUGAAGGUGCUUUUGUUUUCUUGUUUUAAUACCUCCUUUCCAUAAUGUUGACAUAGGGAAUUUGGUAGCCUUCUCUGAGUAGGUGAGGCUCUGACUUAUUUAAUCAUUUUUUGUCCACGAGUUAUUUUAAGUUGAAUUCAUCAGUUAUUUACCAACUUGUUUUGUGAUCCUGAUCUUUGCAUUAUCCACUGACAAUCAGAAGCCUAAGCUGGACCUCUUAUUAUGAUAGGCUGUGAUGUAUUAUCUUCGUGGUUUGCUCCUGGUUUCGUGCAAUGGGUAGUUGUGAACUCGACUUGUCAGAUUUUUCUUGCUUUUAAUUGUUUUACGCCUAACAUGGCAAAUUUCAAUUCUUUUCUAUUUUGCAACUUCCCUGCUGCCGCUGUUGGCAUUUUGCUGCUAUCAAGGAUAGUGUCAUCCGGUAAUUCCAAACUGGGAAGCCUGUAGAUUGUGUUUCAUAAGUUAAUAAUUUGGUCUUUUCUUAUUGAUAAUAUUACUGUGAGAGAACUUCGGUCUACAUAAUUACGUCAACCGGUGUUUGCAGUUCCUUAAUUGAUUGCAUUUUGUUCUCUCUUUUCUCAUUUAUUUUUUUAAAUGUUUUUAAUAUGUGUGGUUGUCUACUGUGCAUUGUUCCUAGGUUGACUUGGAAAAAACUAGAGUAUUUAGUCGUUGAGGUUCGAAAAAUUAAUUGUAUUAUGUGGUUUUGUAAAUUGUAAUAAAUUUUGAUUUAAUGUACAUCACUUGUAUCUUAUGUAUAAUAAUUUAUCUCAUUUUGCAGGAUAUAUUUUUGACUCUUGAACAUUUUGACUAAGCCUUGUCAGUGGUUUUGGAGCAGGCAUUCUUACUCUUUUCUAUAUCAGCAUUCACAUUUAUUUCUAAACAAAAAAUAUCAGGCCCAACAAUUAACUUUUUACUUUUGUUUUGAAGGAAUUUUGGUUGAAGGUUAUCUACAUCAAUAACAUUAUCCUUUGGUCCCCGUGUUUCAGUCCAGUGGUUACCCAAUUUGUAGUGUUUUAUUUGUCAUUCUUUUUGUUUUUCAUUUAGCCCUUUGUUUUUGUGCAUCUUAUCCCUCUCUUUCUCUCGCAUUUUUUUCUUCCAGAGAUUAGAAGUAGUGCUGCAUGUGUUUUUGGGGAAGUUAUCAACGUGGUGCAUUGAUCCCUUGGUGGUUUACCUUUUCUAACCUUGGUCAUUUCUUUUUUAGAGAUUGAGGUGCCUAAAUUUAUGAAUUAUUAUUUAAAUACCCUUCCCUAUUUUAUGUUUACAACUUGUCUUGGCAUUCACUAUCGAGUUCUUGCUAGUUACCUGUUCUCUGGGUAAUUUUAGUUAUUGACUUGAAUUUUCUGUACCUUUUUAUUUUUUCCUUGAUUAGUUGACAAAAAAAAGUAGUCCUUCAUGUUUUUGUUUUUCCUUGUCUUCUUUUUCUUCCUUAUCCUGUUGUUUUUCUCUUCCGAGUGUCCCCAGGCUCAGAGGCAAACUAUUAACUUGGUGCAGAGGGGCCCUAGUGCAAUAAUAUUUCUAGCUUAAUUGAUUUUUUUAUCUGAAUUUUGAAGGUGCUUUUGUUUUCUUGUUUUAAUACUCUUCCUUUCCAUAAUGUUGACAUAGGGAAUUUGGUAGCCUUCUCCGAGUAGGUGGGGCUCUGACUUAUUUAAUCAUUUUUUGUCCACAAGUUAUUUUAAGUUGGAUUCAUCAGUUAUUUACCAACUUGUUUUGUGAUCCUGAUCUUUGCAUUAUCUUUCUUGGUUUGCUCCUGGUUUCGUGCAAUGGGUAGUUGUGAACUCGACUUGUCAGAUUUUUCUUGCUUUUAAUUGUUUUACGCCUAACAUGGAAAAUUUCAAUUCUUUUCUAUUUUGCAACUUCCCUGCUGCCACUGUUGGCAUUUUGCUGCUAUCAAGGAUACUGCCAUCCGGUAAUUCCAAACUGGGAAGCCUGUAAAUUGUGUUUCAUAUGUUAAUAAUUUGGUCCUUUUCUUAUUGAUAAUAUUACUGUGAGAGAACUUCGGCCUACAUAAUUACGUCAACCGGUGUUUACAGUUCCUUAAUUGAUUGCAUUUUGUUCUCUCUUUUGUUUUUUUAAAUGUUUUUAAUCUGUGUGGUUGUCUACUGUGCAUUGUUCCUAGGUUGACUUGGAAAAAACUAGAGUAUUUAGUCGUUGAGGUUCGAAAAAUUAAUUGUAUUAUGUGGUUUUGUAAAUUGUAAUAAAUUUUGAUCUAAUGUACAUCACUUGUAUCUUAUGUAUAAUAAUUUAUCUCAUUUUGCAGGAUAUAUUUUUGACUCUUGAACAUUUUGACUAAGCCUUGUCAGUGGUUUUGGAGCAGGCAUUCUUACUCUUUUCUAUAUCAGCAUUCACAUUUAUUUCUAAACAAAAAAUAUCAAGCCCAACAAUUAACUUUUUACUUUUGUUUUGAAGGAAUUUUGGUUGAAGGUUAUCUACAUAAAUAACAUUAUCCUUUGGUCCCCGUGUUUCAGUCCCGUGGUUACCCAAUUUGUAGUGUUUUAUUUGUCUUUCUUUUUGUUUUUCAUUUAGCCCUUUGUUUUUGUGCAUCUUAUCCCUCUCUUUCUCUCACAUUUUUCACUUCCAGAGAUUAGAAGUAGUGCUGCAUGUGUUUUUGGGGAAGUUAUCAACAUGGUGCAUUGAACCCUUGGUGGUUUACCUUUUAAACCUUUGUUCAUUUCUUUUCUACACAUUGAGUGCCUAAUUUUAUUGAUUAUUCUUUAAAUACUCUUCCCUGAUUUACUACGUGGUCAACUUGAGAUGGCAUUUGCUAUCUAGUUUUGGCUAGUUUCAUGUUCUCUGUGUAUCUUUAGUUAUUGAAUUGAAUUUUCAGUACCUUUUCUUUUGAGAAGUUAACAAUAAAAAGUAAUCCUUCGUACGUUGUUUUUGUUCUUCCUUUAGUCUCAUUCUACUCCCUUAUCCCCUAGUUUUUAUGUUCAGUGUUCCAAGGGAUAGUGGGUCUUUAGCGAAAUAAAUUUGUCUGGCAUAGUUAAAUUCUUUUCUGAAAUUUUAUGGUGCUUACCUAUUGUAUUCUUGUUUUAAUGGUCUUCCCAACCUAUUAUGUUGACAUAUAGGGCAUUUGGUAACCUUCUUUAUUGGAGGAGGCGAGGUUCUGACUUAUUUUAUUUUUUUUGUCCAAAAUUAUCUUGAAUUGUAUUCAUUGGUUAUUUAACAGCUUGUUUUGUGACCCUUGUCUUUCUGUUGUCUACUGACAUUCAGAAGCCUAAGCUGGAACUCUUGUUAUGAAGGCUGUUGUUUAUUCUCUUCCUGGUUUGCUCCUUGUUUCAUGCAAUGGGUAGUUCUGGACUCAAUAAUUGGCAGUUUUUUCUUGUUUGUUACCUAACCAAUUAUCGUCUAACACGGCACAUUUGAGUCCUCUUAUAUUUUGGACUUACCCAUCAUUAUGUUGCUACUAUCAAGAAUAGUGCCAUCUUGUACUAUUAUCAAAUAGGGAAGCCUGUAAAUUGUGUCUCAUGUUAAUAGAUUGGUCUUUUCUUUAUUAUAAUCUUACUGUGAGAGAACUUUGGUCUACGUUGUAUCAUCAACAGGUGUUUGCCGUUCCUUAAUUGAUUGCAUUUUCUUCUCUCUUUUUGUUUUCUUUUUUUUAAAUUUUCUAAUCUGUUUGUGGUUGUAUACCCUGCAUUGUUUCUAGGUAAAGAUAAUAUUACUGUGAGAGAUCUUUGGUCUUUACUUUGCAAUGUCAACAUGUGUUUGCAGCUCCUUAAUUGAUUGUGUUUUCUUGUCUCUUUGUGUUUUAAAAAAUUUUAAUCUGUGUGAUUGUCAUUGUUCUUAGGUUGACUUUGUAAAAGACUAGAGUAUUUAGUCAUUGAGGUUUGAAAAAUUAAUGGCGUUGUGGUGCUUUUUAAUCAUAGUUUUGUUUAAAUAUCCAUCAGUAUUAUCUUCUGUGUAAUAGUUUCUCAUUUCGCAGGAUAUAUUUGUCUCUUGACAUUUUGACUAAGCCUUAUUAGUAGUGCUUUUGGAUUACACAUUCUUACUCUUCCUUUUCAAUUUCUGCAUUCUCAUUUAUUUCUAACCAGAAAAUUUUAAGCUCAGAUAGUAACUUUUUUACUUUUGUUUUGAAGGUUAUCACAUCAAUAACAUUAUCGUUUGGUGGGGGUGUUUCAGUUCAGUGGUUACCCAAUUUGACAUGUUUUAUUAGUCAUUCGUUGUUUGUUCUUCAUUAAGUCCAUUGUGCGUCUCGUCUCUCUCUCAUUUUUUUUCUUCCAGAGAUUAGAAGUGAGCUGCAUAUUUGUUUUUGGGGGAAGUUAUCAAAAUGGUUCAUUGGGCCUGUGGUUGUUUACCUUUUCUAAUUAAUUUCUUUUCUACCGCAUUGAGGUGCCUAAUUUUAUGGAUUAUUCUUUAAAUACACUUCCCUGAUUUAUGUGGUCAACUUCACAUGGCAUUUGCUAUCAAAAUUUGUUAGUUACCUAUUCUAUGUGCAUUUUCAGUUAUUGACUUGAAUUCCUUGAUAAGUUAAUGAAAAAAAGCAGUCGUCCUUCAUUUUUUGUUUUUCCUAAAUUUUAUCCUUAGUUUUUUGGUCUUCCUAGAGUCAUUCUUCUCGCUCAUCCUCUAGUUUUUCUCUUUUGAGUGUUCCCAGGCAUAGUUGUCCCCUAGUGAAAUAAUUUUGACUAGCAUAGUUGAUUUCUUAUCUGAAAUUUAUGGUGCUUACCUACAGUAUUAUUUGUUUUAAUACUCGUCCCUUCCCUUUAUGUUGACAUAGGGCAUUUUGGUAGGCUCCGACUUAUUAAUUGUUUUUUUAUCCUAAAUUUAUCUUGAGUUGUAUUAAUUGGUUAUUUAACAGCUUGUUUUGUGACACUUGUUUUUGUGUUAUCCACUGUCAUUCAG